UGGGGAAUAUUGCACAAUGGGCGCAAGCCUGAUGCAGCCAUGCCGCGUGUAUGAAGAAGGCCUUCGGGUUGUAAAGUACUUUCAGCGGGGAGGAAGGGAGUAAAGUUAAUACCUUUGCUCAUUGACGUUACCCGCAGAAGAAGCACCGGCUAACUCCGUGCCAGCAGCCGCGGUAAUACGGAGGGUGCAAGCGUUAAUCGGAAUUACUGGGCGUAAAGCGCACGCAGGCGGUUUGUUAAGUCAGAUGUGAAAUCCACGGGCUCAACCUGGGAACUGCAUCUGAUACUGGCAAGCUUGAGUCUCGUAGAGGGGGGUAGAAUUCCAGGUGUAGCGGUGAAAUGCGUAGAGAUCUGGAGGAAUACCGGUGGCGAAGGCGGCCCCCUGGACGAAGACUGACGCUCAGGUGCGAAAGCGUGGGGAGCAAACAGG
RNAcentral lists this ribosomal RNA (429 nucleotides) under Fusobacteriota bacterium. RNAcentral's name for it is "Fusobacteria bacterium partial 16S ribosomal RNA". It matches the Rfam family "Bacterial small subunit ribosomal RNA", at positions 355 to 776 of the family's 1533-position model. Lineage: Bacteria; Fusobacteriati; Fusobacteriota. The record is from RNAcentral.